AACGCUAGCUACAGGCUUAACACAUGCAAGUCGAGGGGCAGCAUUUCAGUUUGCUUGCAAACUGGAGAUGGCGACCGGCGCACGGGUGAGUAACACGUAUCCAACCUGCCGAUAACUCGGGGAUAGCCUUUCGAAAGAAAGAUUAAUACCCGAUGGUAUAAUCAGACCGCAUGGUUUGAUUAUUAAAGAAUUUCGGUUAUCGAUGGGGAUGCGUUCCAUUAGGCAGUUGGUGAGGUAACGGCUCACCAAACCUUCGAUGGAUAGGGGUUCUGAGAGGAAGGUCCCCCACAUUGGAACUGAGACACGGUCCAAACUCCUACGGGAGGCAGCAGUGAGGAAUAUUGGUCAAUGGGCGCAGGCCUGAACCAGCCAAGUAGCGUGAAGGAUGACUGCCCUAUGGGUUGUAAACUUCUUUUAUAUGGGAAUAAAGUUUUCCACGUGUGGAAUUUUGUAUGUACCAUAUGAAUAAGGAUCGGCUAACUCCGUGCCAGCAGCCGCGGUAAUACAGAGGAUCCGAGCGUUAUCCGGAUUUAUUGGGUUUAAAGGGAGCGUAGGUGGACAGUUAAGUCAGUUGUGAAAGUUUGCGGCUCAACCGUAAAAUUGCAGUUGAUACUGGCUGUCUUGAGUACAGUAGAGGUGGGCGGAAUUCGUGGUGUAGCGGUGAAAUGCUUAGAUAUCACGAAGAACUCCGAUUG
This 695-nucleotide ribosomal RNA is filed under the name uncultured bacterium. RNAcentral's name for it is "bacterial SSU rRNA". It matches the Rfam family "Bacterial small subunit ribosomal RNA", at positions 32 to 715 of the family's 1533-position model. The record is from RNAcentral.